UACGUAGGUGGCAAGCGUUGUCCGGAUUUACUGGGCGUAAAGGAUGCGUAGGUGGAUAUGCAAGUCAGAUGUGAAAUACCCGAGCUUAACUUGGGUGCUGCAUUUGAAACUGGGUGUCUAGAGUGCAGGAGAGGUAAGUGGAAUUCCUAGUGUAGCGGUGAAAUGCGUAGAGAUUAGGAAGAACACCAGUGGCGAAGGCGACUUUCUGGCUUAAACCUGACGCUGAGGCGCGAAAGCGUGGGGAGCAAACAGG
This 253-nucleotide ribosomal RNA is filed under the name uncultured bacterium. Its description in RNAcentral is "partial 16S ribosomal RNA". It matches the Rfam family "Bacterial small subunit ribosomal RNA", at positions 524 to 776 of the family's 1533-position model. The record is from RNAcentral.